This is a long non-coding RNA of Mastomys coucha (southern multimammate mouse), 246 nucleotides long. RefSeq lists it as uncharacterized. Lineage: Eukaryota; Metazoa; Chordata; Mammalia; Rodentia; Muridae. The record is from RefSeq and is a predicted model, not a curated record. The transcript has 2 exons.
GUUUUGGUCUAGUAUUUCUUCAAUAGGCUCCCUCUUCUCCCUGUGGAAUGGUCAUAUAUGUCCUGUGUCAUAGUAUAUCAGAAUCAUUAGGGAGGAGUGCCCACUUCAAAUUUGGAUGUACAACUCUCAGAUGCUUCUCCAACACCAUCUCUGCCUACAUGCCUCUUAUGUUUCCUGCCAUAAUGAUAAUGCACUACACUUCCUAAACUGUAAGCAAGCUCCAAUUAAAUGUUUUCCUUUAUAAGA